This 70-nucleotide transfer RNA is filed under the name Mustela putorius furo (domestic ferret). It matches the Rfam family "tRNA". From Rfam's summary of the family: Transfer RNA (tRNA) molecules are approximately 80 nucleotides in length. Lineage: Eukaryota; Metazoa; Chordata; Mammalia; Carnivora; Mustelidae. The record is from Rfam by way of RNAcentral.
GCCUGGCUGGCUUAGUCAGAGCAUGAGACUCUUGAUCUCAGGGUUGUGAGUUCGAGCCCCAUGUUGGAUA